AGCUUUGCACAGUGGCAGUAUUGUAGCCAGUGAGGUUUAUCUGAGGCAUGAUUAUUGCUAAUUGAGUUAAGUAAAUUUAAAGAUUAAAUCUUUUCCCAUUUGUCUCACUGGUCUAACAAUCAUGUAAAGCCUAGUAUCAGUGGUUUUUAGCAAAAA
The sequence is a small nuclear RNA, 156 nucleotides long. Its record names the gene U4. It matches the Rfam family "U4 spliceosomal RNA". Rfam says of the family: U4 small nuclear RNA (U4 snRNA) is a component of the major U2-dependent spliceosome. The structure of U4 snRNA from yeast and human has been reported. U4 snRNA presents a k-turn RNA motif in the 5p-SL related to recognition of Snu13 protein. The record is from Ensembl.